This is a non-coding RNA of Photobacterium damselae subsp. piscicida DI21, 182 nucleotides long. The record is from Rfam. NCBI's taxonomy places the organism in Bacteria, Pseudomonadati, Pseudomonadota, Gammaproteobacteria, Vibrionales, Vibrionaceae.
CCUUUGGGGAGUAGCCUCUAAUCUAGUGUUGCAAUAAGACUAGAGUAGACAUUCAUCAACAUAAUUGAAGCAAAAUCUUCAUGGUGAAUGUGACUGUUUUGGGUUUGGCAAGACCAUAGGUAAGACCGCAUAAACCGGGGUGGGGAGUGCGAGUUUUACUAUUGGUUCUAAUAAUAAUUCUC